AUUUAAAUAGCUUAUUUUAGAGCGUAAUAUUGAAGAUAUUAAGGAAGUUAAUAAACUUUUAGAUA
RNAcentral lists this transfer RNA (65 nucleotides) under Apteropeda orbiculata. Its description in RNAcentral is "tRNA-Phe". The record is from RNAcentral. Lineage: Eukaryota; Metazoa; Arthropoda; Insecta; Coleoptera; Chrysomelidae.